Molecule: ribosomal RNA, 305 nt
Filed under: uncultured bacterium
Lineage: Bacteria
Description: bacterial SSU rRNA
Rfam family: Bacterial small subunit ribosomal RNA
Source: RNAcentral
CCUACGGGACGCAGCAGUGGGGAAUAUUGGGCAAUGGGGGAAACCCUGACCCAGCGACGCCGCGUGAGGGAAGAAGUAUUUCGGUAUGUAAAGCUCUAUCAGCAGGGAAGAAGAUGACGGUACCUGACCAAGAAGCCCCGGCUAACUACGUGCCAGCAGCCGCGGUAAUACGUAGGGGGCAAGCGUUAUCCGGAUUUACUGGGUGUAAAGGGAGCGCAGACGGCAGUGCAAGUCUGGAGUGAAAGCCCGGGGCCCAACCCCGGAACUGCCCUGGAAACUGUGCGGCUAGAGUACUGGAGGGGCAG